AUUCCAUGAUGAGGACAGACAAUGACAUAUUCCUCCAGCCUUUCCCAAGCUUCUGGGAUCGUCUCAUAUCUUGUCUGCUAGAAGCUGGAUAUGCUUCUGCGAAA
RNAcentral lists this small nucleolar RNA (104 nucleotides) under Oryza punctata. Its description in RNAcentral is "Plant small nucleolar RNA R71". It matches the Rfam family "Plant small nucleolar RNA R71". From Rfam's summary of the family: R71 is a member of the C/D box family of snoRNAs containing the C (UGAUGA) and D (CUGA) box motifs. The record is from Rfam by way of RNAcentral. Lineage: Eukaryota; Viridiplantae; Streptophyta; Magnoliopsida; Poales; Poaceae.